This 497-nucleotide ribosomal RNA is filed under the name uncultured bacterium. Its description in RNAcentral is "partial 16S ribosomal RNA". It matches the Rfam family "Bacterial small subunit ribosomal RNA", at positions 28 to 507 of the family's 1533-position model. The record is from RNAcentral.
GAUGAACGCUGGCGGCGUGCCUAAUACAUGCCAGUCGAGCGAACGGACGAGAAGCUUGCUUCUCUGAUGUUAGCGGCGGACGGGUGAGUAACACGUGGAUAACCUACCUAUAAGACUGGGAUAACUUCGGGAAACCGUAGCUAAUACCGGAUAAUAUUUUGAACCGCAUGGUUCAAAAGUGAAAGACGGUCUUGCUGUCACUUAUAGAUGGAUCCGCGAUGCAUUAGCUAGUUGGUAAGGUACCGCCUUACCAAGGCAACGAUGCAUAGCCGACCUGAGAGGGUGGUCGGCCACACUGGAACGGAGACACGGUCCAGACUCCUACGGGAGGCAGCAGUAGGGAAUCUUCCGCAAUGGGCGAAAGCCUGACGGAGCAACGCCGCGUGAGUGAUGAAGGUCUUCGGAUCGUAAAACUCUGUUAUUAGGGAAGAACAUAUGUGUAAGUAACUGUGCACAUCUUGACGGUACCUAAUCAGAAAGCCACGGCUAACUACGUG